This 159-nucleotide ribosomal RNA is filed under the name Schizopora sp. RNAcentral's name for it is "5.8S ribosomal RNA". It matches the Rfam family "5.8S ribosomal RNA". From Rfam's summary of the family: 5.8S ribosomal RNA (5.8S rRNA) is a component of the large subunit of the eukaryotic ribosome. It is transcribed by RNA polymerase I as part of the 45S precursor that also contains 18S and 28S rRNA. Functionally, it is thought that 5.8S rRNA may be involved in ribosome translocation. Lineage: Eukaryota; Fungi; Basidiomycota; Agaricomycetes; Hymenochaetales; Schizoporaceae. The record is from RNAcentral.
CAACUUUCAACAACGGAUCUCUUGGCUCUCGCAUCGAUGAAGAACGCAGCGAAAUGCGAUAAGUAAUGUGAAUUGCAGAAUUCAGUGAAUCAUCGAAUCUUUGAACGCACCUUGCGCUCCUUGGCUAUUCCGAGGAGCAUGCCUGUUUGAGUGUCAUGU